This 72-nucleotide transfer RNA is filed under the name Gunungiella acanthoclada. Its description in RNAcentral is "tRNA-Trp". Lineage: Eukaryota; Metazoa; Arthropoda; Insecta; Trichoptera; Philopotamidae. The record is from RNAcentral.
AAGAUUUUAAGUUAAACAAACUAGUAAUUUUCAAAAUUACAAUUAUAUUUUAUCCUAAAUUUAUAAGUCUUA